AGGUUUUAUGCAUGUUGGGUAUGUGAGGAAGGGUUGAGGAGAGGUGUUGGUGCAUGAACUGGGUUCUGGAAGAACUCAGGUUCGGCCGCCGAAGUGAGUUUCGGCCGCCGAAUGCCUUGUGGAGGUGGCUUUGGCUGCCGAAGGCUGCUUCCGGAAGGUGGACUUUCGGAUCUGUCAUGCACAUUCGGCCGCCGAAGGUGCCGCCGAAGGUUGAGUUUCGUCUCUGGACGAGACUUUCGGAUGCCGAAGGUGCACCUGAAGGGAUAGUAAUAGGACUUUCGGCCGCCGAAAGUAGAGGUUCGGCCGCCGAAAGUAUGUGAG
Molecule: long non-coding RNA, 321 nt
Filed under: Manihot esculenta (cassava)
Lineage: Eukaryota; Viridiplantae; Streptophyta; Magnoliopsida; Malpighiales; Euphorbiaceae
Description: long non-coding RNA (MESC_LNC013115)
Source: RNAcentral